GACGAACGCUGGCGGCGUGCUUAACACAUGCAAGUCGAACGAUGAAGCCUAGCAAUCUUUGGUUGUUGGGUGGAUUAGUGGCGAACGGGUGAGUAAUACGUGGGUAACCUGCCCUCCUUUUUGGGAUAAGCCUUGGAAACGGGGUCUAAUACCGAAUAUUCUGGCGCUCUCGCAUGGGGGUGUUGGGAAAGCUUUUGUGUGAAGGGGGAUGGGCUCGCGGCCUAUCAGCUUGUUGGUGGGGUGAUGGCCUACCAAGGCGGUGACGGGUAGCCGGCCUGAGAGGGUGACCGGCCACAUUGGGACUGAGAUACGGCCCAGACUCCUACGGGAGGCAGCAGUGGGGGAUAUUGCACAAUGGGCGAAAGCCUGAUGCAGCGACGCCGCGUGGGGGAUGAAGGCUUUCGGGUUGUAAACCUCUUCCGCUAUCGAACAAGGCCCGCUUAGGGUGGGUUGAGGGUAGGUGGAGAAGAAGCGCCGGCUAACUACGUGCCAGCAGCCGCGGUAAUACGUAGGGCGCGAGCGUUGUCCGGAAUUAUUGGGCGUAAAGGGCUUGUAGGCGGCUUGUUGCGCCUGCUGUGAAAACGCGGGGCUUAACUUCGCGCGUGCAGUGGGUACGGGCAGGCUUGAGUGUGGUAGGGGUGACUGGAAUUCCAGGUGUAGCGGUGGAAUGCGCAGAUAUCUGGAGGAACACCGAUGGCGAAGGCAGGUCACUGGGCCAUUACUGACGCUGAGGAGCGAAAGCAUGGGUAGCGAACAGG
RNAcentral lists this ribosomal RNA (758 nucleotides) under uncultured Actinobaculum sp. RNAcentral describes it as "bacterial SSU rRNA". It matches the Rfam family "Bacterial small subunit ribosomal RNA", at positions 28 to 776 of the family's 1533-position model. The record is from RNAcentral. Lineage: Bacteria; Bacillati; Actinomycetota; Actinomycetes; Actinomycetales; Actinomycetaceae.